This 63-nucleotide non-coding RNA is filed under the name unclassified sequences. The record is from Rfam.
CAACGUUCACUUCGCUACACAGCGGAGCGCAGUUCGACCGGCGCCAUGGAACGGGGACGCCGG